Molecule: ribosomal RNA, 429 nt
Filed under: Pseudomonadota bacterium
Lineage: Bacteria; Pseudomonadati; Pseudomonadota
Description: Proteobacteria bacterium partial 16S ribosomal RNA
Rfam family: Bacterial small subunit ribosomal RNA
Source: RNAcentral
UGGGGAAUAUUGGACAAUGGGCGAAAGCCUGAUCCAGCCAUGCCGCGUGUGUGAAGAAGGUAUUCGGAUUGUAAAGCACUUUAAGUUGGGAGGAAGGGCAGUAAGCGAAUACCUUGCUGUUUUGACGUUACCGACAGAAUAAGCACCGGCUAACUCUGUGCCAGCAGCCGCGGUAAUACAGAGGGUGCAAGCGUUAAUCGGAAUUACUGGGCGUAAAGCGCGCGUAGGUGGUUCGUUAAGUUGAAUGUGAAAGCCCCGGGCUCAACCUGGGAACUGCAUCCAAAACUGGCGAGCUAGAGUAGGGAAGAGAGUGGUGGAAUUUCCUGUGUAGCGGUGAAAUGCGUAGAUAUAGGAAGGAACACCAGUGGCGAAGGCGACCACCUGGGCUCAUACUGACACUGAGGUGCGAAAGCGUGGGGAGCAAACAGG